CACGUAGGCGGACUGGAAAGUUGGAGGUGAAAUCCCAGGGCUCAACCUUGGAACUGCCUUCAAAACUAUCAGUCUGGAGUUCGAGAGAGGUGAGUGGAAUUCCGAGUGUAGAGGUGAAAUUCGUAGAUAUUCGGAGGAACACCAGUGGCGAAGGCGGCUCACUGGCUCGAUACUGACGCUGAGGUGCGAAAGUGUGGGGAGCAAAC
Molecule: ribosomal RNA, 206 nt
Filed under: uncultured bacterium
Lineage: Bacteria
Description: partial 16S ribosomal RNA
Rfam family: Bacterial small subunit ribosomal RNA
Source: RNAcentral